GAUGAACGCUGACAGAAUGCUUAACACAUGCCAGUCAACUUGAAUUUGGGUUUUUAACUUAGGUUUGGGUGGCGGACGGGUGAGUAACGCGUAAAGAACUUGCCUCACAGCUAGGGACAACAUUUGGAAACGAAUGCUAAUACCUAAUAUUAUGAUAAUAGGGCAUCCUAUAUUUAUGAAAGCUAUAAGCGCUGUGAGAGAGCUUUGCGUCCCAUUAGCUAGUUGGAGAGGUAACGGCUCACCAAGGCGAUGAUGGGUAGCCGGCCUGAGAGGGUGAUCGGCCACAAGGGGACUGAGACACGGCCCUUACUCCUACGGGAGGCAUCAGUGGGGAAUAGUGGACAAUGGACCGAGAGUCUGAUGCAGCAAUUCUGUGUGCACGAUGAAGUUUUUCGGAAUGUAAAGUGCUUUCAGUUGGGAAGAAACAAAUGACGGUACCAACAGAAGAAGUGACGGCUAAAUACGUG
This 467-nucleotide ribosomal RNA is filed under the name uncultured bacterium. Its description in RNAcentral is "partial 16S ribosomal RNA". It matches the Rfam family "Bacterial small subunit ribosomal RNA", at positions 28 to 507 of the family's 1533-position model. The record is from RNAcentral.